GACCUAUAAACAUCGUGAUCUAGCCUGGGAGCAGAUCACUCCCUUUCGGUCGCGUGCGCCC
RNAcentral lists this small RNA (61 nucleotides) under Sinorhizobium meliloti 2011. RNAcentral describes it as "putative ncRNA". Lineage: Bacteria; Pseudomonadati; Pseudomonadota; Alphaproteobacteria; Hyphomicrobiales; Rhizobiaceae. The record is from RNAcentral.